This 253-nucleotide ribosomal RNA is filed under the name uncultured bacterium. RNAcentral's name for it is "partial 16S ribosomal RNA". It matches the Rfam family "Bacterial small subunit ribosomal RNA", at positions 524 to 776 of the family's 1533-position model. The record is from RNAcentral.
GACAGAGGGUGCAACCGUUGUUCGGAAUUACUGGGCGUAAAGCGCGUGUAGGCGGCAGCGUGUGUCGGGCGUGAAAUCCCACGGCUCAACCGUGGAAGUGCACUCGAAACUGCGCAGCUAGAGUCCUGGAGAGGAAGGUGGAAUGCUUGGUGUAGAGGUGAAAUUCGUAGAUAUCAAGCGGAACACCGGUGGCGAAGGCGGCCUUCUGGACAGUGACUGACGCUGAAGCGCGAAAGCGUGGGGAGCAAACGGG